AAAAGCAAAAAAAAAAAAAAGGUGUUGAGGAAAAAAAUAUAGCUUAUGAACUUGUAUAUGGCUUAAGACUGCUUCCACCCUCCAGUAAUAUGGUCAAGGAUGUUUAUACUAAGAUAUGCUAUGAGAAAAGUUAGAAACAUGGGAAUGUUCGAAAAUCAUGAGAAAAUUGUAUCUACUCAAAAACAAUAUGAAAACUGUGAGAGAGAAAAAAAGGAAACGAAGAAAAG
This 227-nucleotide unclassified non-coding RNA is filed under the name Hevea brasiliensis (rubber tree). The record is from RNAcentral. Lineage: Eukaryota; Viridiplantae; Streptophyta; Magnoliopsida; Malpighiales; Euphorbiaceae.